UUGUUGCCAGCGGUCCGGCCGGGAACUCAAAGGAGACUGCCAGUGAUAAACUGGAGGAAGGUGGGGAUGACGUCAAGUCAUCAUGGCCCUUACGACCAGGGCUACACACGUGCUACAAUGGCGCAUACAAAGAGAAGCGACCUCGCGAGAGCAAGCGGACCUCAUAAAGUGCGUCGUAGUCCGGAUUGGAGUCUGCAACUCGACUCCAUGAAGUCGGAAUCGCUAGUAAUCGUGGAUCAGAAUGCCACGGUGAAUACGUUCCCGGGCCUUGUACACACCGCCCGUCACACCAUGGGAGUGGGUUGCAAAAGAAGUAGGUAGCUUAACCUUCGGGAGGGCGCUUACCACUUUGUGAUUCAUGACUGGGGUGAAGUCGUAACAAGGUAACCGUAGGGGAACCUGCGGUUGGAUCACCUCCUUACCUUAAAGAAGC
This 433-nucleotide ribosomal RNA is filed under the name Escherichia coli. RNAcentral's name for it is "bacterial SSU rRNA". It matches the Rfam family "Bacterial small subunit ribosomal RNA", at positions 1112 to 1533 of the family's 1533-position model. The record is from RNAcentral. RNAcentral also lists the same sequence under 3 other names. Lineage: Bacteria; Pseudomonadati; Pseudomonadota; Gammaproteobacteria; Enterobacterales; Enterobacteriaceae.